AACGGCCAUACCGUGCUGAAUAUACCGGUUCUCGUUAGGUCACCGAAGUCAAGCAUCAUUGGGCGCGGUCAGUACUUGGGUGGGUGACCACCUGGGAACACCGCGUGCCGUU
Molecule: ribosomal RNA, 112 nt
Filed under: Caerostris darwini
Lineage: Eukaryota; Metazoa; Arthropoda; Arachnida; Araneae; Araneidae
Source: RNAcentral